This 891-nucleotide ribosomal RNA is filed under the name uncultured bacterium. RNAcentral's name for it is "bacterial SSU rRNA". It matches the Rfam family "Bacterial small subunit ribosomal RNA", at positions 51 to 936 of the family's 1533-position model. The record is from RNAcentral.
ACACAUGCAAGUCGAGGGGCAGCAUAAUGGAUAGCAAUAUCUAUGGUGGCGACCGGCGCACGGGUGCGUAACGCGUAUGCAACCUACCUUUAACAGGGGGAUAACACUGAGAAAUUGGUACUAAUACCCCAUAAUAUCAUAGAAGGCAUCUUUUAUGGUUGAAAAUUCCGAUGGUUAGAGAUGGGCAUGCGUUGUAUUAGCUAGUUGGUGGGGUAACGGCUCACCAAGGCGACGAUACAUAGGGGGACUGAGAGGUUAACCCCCCACACUGGUACUGAGACACGGACCAGACUCCUACGGGAGGCAGCAGUGAGGAAUAUUGGUCAAUGGACGCAAGUCUGAACCAGCCAUGCCGCGUGCAGGAUGACGGCUCUAUGAGUUGUAAACUGCUUUUGUACGAGGGUAAACGCAGAUACGUGUAUCUGUCUGAAAGUAUCGUACGAAUAAGGAUCGGCUAACUCCGUGCCAGCAGCCGCGGUAAUACGGAGGAUUCAAGCGUUAUCCGGAUUUAUUGGGUUUAAAGGGUGCGUAGGCGGUUUGAUAAGUUAGAGGUGAAAUUUCGGGGCUCAACCCUGAACGUGCCUCUAAUACUGUUGAGCUAGAGAGUAGUUGCGGUAGGCGGAAUGUAUGGUGUAGCGGUGAAAUGCUUAGAGAUCAUACAGAACACCGAUUGCGAAGGCAGCUUACCAAACUAUAUCUGACGUUGAGGCACGAAAGCGUGGGGAGCAAACAGGAUUAGAUACCCUGGUAGUCCACGCAGUAAACGAUGAUAACUCGUUGUCGGCGAUACACAGUCGGUGACUAAGCGAAAGCGAUAAGUUAUCCACCUGGGGAGUACGUUCGCAAGAAUGAAACUCAAAGGAAUUGACGGGGGCCCGCACAGGCGGAGAA